GAUGAACGCUGGCGGCGUGCCUAAUACAUGCAAGUCGAGCGAACAGACGAGGAGCUUGCUCCUCUGACGUUAGCGGCGGACGGGUGAGUAACACGUGGAUAACCUACCUAUACGACUGGGAUCACUUCGGGAAACCGGAGCUAAUACCGGAUAAUAUAUUGAACCGCAUGGUUCAAUAGUGAAAGACGGUUUUGCUGUCACUUCUAGAUGGCUCCGCGCCGCAUUAGCUAGUUGGUACGGUAACGGCUUACCAAGGCAACGAUGCGUAGCCGACCUGAGAGGGUGAUCGGCCACACUGGAACUGAGACACGGUCCAGACUCCUACGGGAGGCAGCAGUAGGGAAUCGUCCGCGAUGGGCGAAAGCCUGACGGAGCGACGCCGCGUGGGUGAUGAAGGUCUUCGGAUCGUAAAACUCUGUUAUUAGGGAAGAACAAAUGUGUAAGUAACUAUGCACGUCUUGACGGUACCUAAUCAGAAAGCCACGGCUAACUACGUG
This 497-nucleotide ribosomal RNA is filed under the name uncultured bacterium. Its description in RNAcentral is "partial 16S ribosomal RNA". It matches the Rfam family "Bacterial small subunit ribosomal RNA", at positions 28 to 507 of the family's 1533-position model. The record is from RNAcentral.